GAUGAACGCUAGCGGCAGGCCUAAUACAUGCAAGACGAACGGUAAGUUGAGUAGCAAUACUUAGCCAAGAGUGUCGUACGGGUGCGUAACACGUAUGCAACCUACCCUAUACAGGAGGAUAGCCUAGGGAAACCUGGAUUAACCCUUCAUAGUAUUAUUGGAUGGCAUCAUUUGAUAAUUAAAACUGAGGUGGUAUAGGAUGGGCAUGCGUCUGAUUAGUUAGUUGGCGGGGUAAUGGCCCACCAAGACGAUGAUCAGUAGGGGUUCUGAGAGGAAGAUCCCCCCACACUGGCACUGAGAUACGGGCCAGACUCCUACGGGAGCAGCAGUAGGGAAUAUUGGGUCAAUGGGAUGCAAGUCUGAACCAGCCAUGCCGCGUGCAGGAAGAA
Molecule: ribosomal RNA, 389 nt
Filed under: uncultured bacterium
Lineage: Bacteria
Description: bacterial SSU rRNA
Rfam family: Bacterial small subunit ribosomal RNA
Source: RNAcentral